This 58-nucleotide microRNA precursor is filed under the name Oreochromis niloticus (Nile tilapia). RNAcentral's name for it is "microRNA oni-mir-430b precursor". Its record names the gene oni-mir-430b. The record is from miRBase by way of RNAcentral. Lineage: Eukaryota; Metazoa; Chordata; Actinopteri; Cichliformes; Cichlidae.
ACAGCAACAUGAGCACUUACGUGAAUUCUGAAAACAUCAAGUGCUAAUUGUUGUUGUA